GGAAGGUCCGGGCGUUAUCCGGAUUUAUUGGGUUUAAAGGGAGCGUAGGCCGGAGAUUAAGCGUGUUGUGAAAUGUAGACGCUCAACGUCUGCACUGCAGCGCGAACUGGUUUCCUUGAGUACGCACAAAGUGGGCGGAAUUCGUGGUGUAGCGGUGAAAUGCUUAGAUAUCACGCAGAACUCCGAUUGCGAAGGCAGCUUACUAAACCAUAACUGACACUGAAGCACGAAAGCGUGGGGAUCAAACAGGAUUAGAUACCCUGGUAGUCCACGCAGUAAACGAUGAUUACUAGGAGUUUGCGAUACAAUGUAAGCUCUACAGCGAAAGCGUUAAGUAAUCCACCUGGGGAGU
This 352-nucleotide ribosomal RNA is filed under the name uncultured bacterium. RNAcentral's name for it is "bacterial SSU rRNA". It matches the Rfam family "Bacterial small subunit ribosomal RNA", at positions 527 to 881 of the family's 1533-position model. The record is from RNAcentral.